Rhodotorula diobovata is the source of this 85-nucleotide non-coding RNA. NCBI's taxonomy places the organism in Eukaryota, Fungi, Basidiomycota, Microbotryomycetes, Sporidiobolales, Sporidiobolaceae. The record is from the annotation of a GenBank genome assembly.
GGCAGCAUGGUGUAGUUGGUUAUCACGUGCCCUUCACAUCUUCGGAAGACGGGCAAGGUCUUGGGUUCGAACCCCAAUGCAGUCA